Molecule: long non-coding RNA, 793 nt
Organism: Nerophis lumbriciformis (worm pipefish)
Lineage: Eukaryota; Metazoa; Chordata; Actinopteri; Syngnathiformes; Syngnathidae
Source: RefSeq, a predicted model, not a curated record
GUUUCUUUUACAGCUCAUUGCGGAGGAGGUAGCGAUGGUUUGGCUUCAGGUCCACCUCCACGGGGAAAUGAUCGCUCACCUUCAGGGCCUAAUGUGUCAACGGCACAGUGAGUCUUUUCCCGGACGGUCGUGUCCUGCUCGUCUCCAAUCAGCCAAUGGAAUUUCGGAUCACUUCUCAGACGGACGGCUCGCAAGCCCUUGAUGGUGACGUAGCUGCACGCGGCGUUCAGGUCCCCUAAAAUCAUCGCGUUCUGCAGUAGAUCUCUUUGAACACGACAUAAAGUUGAUCCAUCUCCUUCAUGGCCGUUUUGGGACUGGUGUGUUGGCCAAUGAGGACCACAUCCUUCAUUACUAAAACACAAAACAAAAACAAGCCCACCUUUUCAGACAUUUCCUUGGUCUUUCAUCUGAUCUGCCCUACAGUGAAAGAAGGCCGCUACAAAAAACAAGCUAAGUACAGUCGUACUGUAACUUGGUUUUCUAUGCCCCACUUUUCAUAGGAUUCACUUUUCAACAAAGCUUUCACAAAAAUAUCUGUCAAGUUUGAAGAUUGAAUCUAAAUUUGUAAAUUGUAAAUACAAUGGCAUGAAUGUUAGUAUGAAAUAGAUAUAGUCGUAAAAGUUCAACAGUAAGGUUUCUUGAAUCAAAUGAACAAUGUCUAGGACUAAAUACACUCCACUGUCAAAAAUACGAAAUGGUUCGUUCCACUUGAGUAGCGGCUGGGUUUGGUUGUUAUCAUCAGUCAUCAACAAUUGAGAACAGAGAAAUGGAUAUUGGAACAGUGUAGGUCUGA